UUAGCCAGUUUCUUUGAUUCUUUGAAAAGUUGUUGAUAUGCCUCUGCGAGAUCUUCCUCGUCUGACUCCUCGAUGCUUCCAUUACCAUCGCUCAAUGUUUCAUGCAAAACCAAUGAAGCGGAGUCAGGUACAAUAAAAGAUAAACAAACAACAAAAAUGAAGGUAAAGAUGUAUUUGUAAAUAAAGCAAUAGCGUCAUUCCUUUCUUCGUCACUUGAGAUCGAUUCACUAGAAGUAAAAUCAUCCCAUGUUUUAGCUUGCAAAGCCUUCUUUUUGUACAAUUUCUUAUUAGGACAAUCCGUAAAAACAUGACCAUAGCCUUUACAUUUGUAACAUUGGAUUUUUCCUUCGAAAUCAUCUUUUUCUUUAAAAAGCUUUUAAAGUUUUUUGUCUUUUGAGUUUGAGCUUGAAGAUAUUUUAGAAAAGAUUUAUGUUUUGAGGAUGAGGCUUUGUUGGCUUUGUUCUUCCGGAAGUUCCGACGAAAUUUCUUCGUUAGGAGCGCCAGUUGAUGUUCAAAGUCGGCAAGCGAAAUGUCUCCGUCGGAAUCCGAGUCAUCGUCUUCCUCCUUUGUAGAUUUGAGUGCAACCCCUGUACUUUUAGAAGAAGACUUGACAGAAGAUUGAUUAGUAGGAAAAGUCAUUUCAUAUGUUUUUAAAGCACUUACUAAUUCCUCAAUUUUCAUUUCAUCCGAAUGUUUAAUGGUUUCAAUUGCCGCAACCUUCAGACGAAAUCUCUCGGGAAGCGUUCUCAAGAUUUUUCUUACAACUUUAGGUUCUGAAAUUUUCUCUCCCAAGUUCGCGCAUGUAUUAACUAUGUCUUGAAGUCGAGUAUAGUACUCGGUAAAAUCUCAUAUUCCUCCAUACAAAUUGAAACAAAUUUACUUAUUAACAUUUGUAAUUUUUGACCCUUUACCAAGCUAGUUCCUUCAUGCGUAACUUGAAGAGUAUCGCAAAUUUCCUUUGCCGUUUCACAGGCCGAGACGCGUGAAAACUCGGUUUGAGACAAAGCGUUAAAUAAAGCAUUAAUUCCCCUACCGUUGUAAGACGAUAAAUCUUUCUCUUCCUUACUUCAUUUAUCAUGAGGUUUUGGCUUUUCAAUAUUCUCAACUUUUUCAGUAGGAUGUUUCCAUCCAAAUUCAAUGGAUUGCCAAACCCGAUCGUCAACGGCUAUUAGAAAGGCACUCAUGCGAAUCUUCCAAUAGGCGUAAUUAGUCCCAUCAAAUAACGAGGACCUAUUAAUGUUACCGCCUUCACCUAUAAUGAAAGAUAAAUCUAAAUCUCGCUCUGAUACCACUUGUAGGUUAUGGGAACCCUAGGAUCUAUCUAUAUACUCUCAAACACCUAGAAAGGGGUGAAUAGGUGAAUAAGCCAAAAACACAAAUCUCAAUACGAUAAAAGUAAAUGCGGAAAAUAAAAUAGCAUACCAAGAUUUACGUGGGAAAGUUCCAAUUUGGAGAAAAACUCACAGGACCAACACGCGAAAAACAAUCUACUUAAAGAAAAAGAUUACAAGGUGAUUACCGACUCCACAGACUCGACCUCUCUUUUACCUCCUACGGAUCUCGCGCACGUCACUUGGUUGUCCAUGCCCCACGUCCGAAUCCACGGACGUCACGCCUCACGUCCGAAUCUACGGACACCACUCGAAUCCUCGAGCACUCACGGUCCGAAUCCACGAGUCGCCUUGAUCACGCCGAAUCCACGACACCGCACAUGAAGAGUAAAUUCAUAUUUCUAUGGUGAUCCUUUGCUUAGAGUGUCGUUGAAGAACGAGAGAAAAAUCUCUAAGCAAAACUUAGAUCAAUUCGACAUACAUAUAUUGAAUUCCAAUAUCUCGAAUUGACCUAAAGAGGCUAUUUGGUGGAAAAUGGUUUAGAACGAAAAACAUAGCCUCUAGGGUUACUCUCUUAUGUAUUCUGAGUGCUUCUUCGUCAGAGAAAACCCUUACCUUCGUAUUUAUAGACUUUACAAUCAAUUAGAGUCAUUAGAAAAUUUAUACAUUGAGUAUCGAUACUCGGAAGUGGGUACCGGUACGCUAUGACGCAACAGAAACUUCUUAAUGCUGAAUACCGGUACUUGGCCAAUGCAGUACCGGUACUCGACCGAUGCAAUACCGGUACUAAAUCCUGGUACCGGUAUACAAUACAACUCGCAGAAUUAUUGCUCUCGGGUUCUGAGGAACUCAAUAUUAGGUAUCAGUACUCAAUAUAAAAUAUUAGGUUUUUCAACCCGGUUUUGAAGAACUCGAACUUGGUACCGGUACUCAAUAUAAAAUAUUGUUACAUACAAUUUAAAAGUUCCAAAAACCACUUCUAAUUCAUUGAUCAUUACUUAUAUAAUUCUAAUGCCAUAAAUCAAUAUGAAUCACCAUAAAAAAAUUUAAAUCAUACCUGAGCAUCGUGAUUCAACUUGUGAGAUGUUUUCGAGUUCUUCUCGGAAUCUUGGAUUCUUCAACCUUCGACAACACAAACCGAACCCUUCAAGACUCCGACUCAAAUUUUGAAUCUUACCAAUACAAAAUCUCUAACACUAUUAGUAGAGUAAGAAACCGUUAUUAUAAUGAUAAAUCUAGAUCCGUGAGAAGAAAACACAGUACUGUAAGAUCAUAUAUGAACAAUGGAAUUAUCAGUGUAAAUUAUAUUAAAUCUACUGAUAAUUUGGCAGAUCCAUUAACCAAGGCCUUGGGAAGAGAAAGGAUCUAGAGCACAUCGAGAGGGAUAGAGUUGAAGCCCAUAAUAUCAUGAACCAUGUAUGAGGAUGCUCAACCCGAUGAUCAGGGAUCCUGAAAAUUGGGUUCAAUGGAAAAAACGAAUUAUAUAGUGGUCGUAAAGAAUGCACAAUAUAUAAAUAUAUGUGAUCGUAUCUUUACCUAUCCCUAUAGUGUGGGUGCAUUCAUCCUGUAAUUAUAAAAAAGGGUUGAGGUUUUGCUCUUAAUGAAAUUUGUGACUCUUAUGAGCAGGGUAUCAGAAUUACAGAAGCACCCUUGACGGAUUUCAUCUAUGUGAACAUGAAAGUGAGGCCGUUUCCUAUGAGAAUGUGCUUAUUCUCAAAUAUGCUCAUGAAAAUCAAAAUCAGCUAGCACAAGGCAGUAAUGUGCUAGCUAGUACAGCUCAUGUCAACACCUGGAUUGUUAUAUGUAAGCAAAUACUCUCUAUUUCCCCUAAGCCGCCCCCGUGCCACCUUUUUUUUAAAAUUUUUUUUUGGCUUUUGUUUUUUUUUUUUGCUUUUGCUUUUGCUUUUUUUUUUCUCUUUGGCUCUAUUUUUGUUGUGGGCAUCUAUCACAUGCCCAGUUUUCUUUUUUUUUUUGUCUUUUUCUUUAGCAUUUGGUUGAUUAGUUUGGUGUGGCCCAUAGUCACAUGCACACAGGUCAAAGCAAAUUUUUUUUUUUUUGUCUUUUUCUUUGCCAUUUGAUUAAUUGGGUUGCUGUGGACAUCAUAUCACAUGCCCACCGUGUAAUUUACUUUUGUCGUCUUUUUGUUUGGCCUUUGGGUAACUCAAAGGCCGGCCUUUGAUAACCCAAAGGCCAAACAACUAUAAUGCAAAGGCUCCGAGUGUGAGAUUAUAAAUUCAUGCAAACCCGCCUCCAAACCUCUGCACGAAUCUUUCUUUCCUUCGUAUUCUUUCUUCCCCUUUCUUUCUUUUGCCAGUGCUUAGCAACCUUAGCUAUCUUCUCCUCUCUUUUUUUUUUCUUUUCAGUUCUUACAUAUCUUCCUAAAAUUAUUUGUCCUCUUUCUUUCGUCGCUUGAAAAGAAGUCGCUUGAAAAGAAGGCAAGAACAUCUCAUAUCGCAGAUUUGCUUAUUAGGUAAGUCAAAAAAAAUUAUAAUUUAAAUUUUUUAUUUAUAAAUAUAGCGGCUAAUUUUUAAUUGACAUAUCUGAUCCAACACAGACAUCCACUUUCUUUGAGCAAAUUAUUUUAUCAAAAUUUCUCGCACUGUGAAGCGUUCGGCGAAUCAGGGUAAACAACAUCAAUUAUAAUUUCUUUUUUUGCAUCAUAAGAUAUAAAAUAUUGAUAAAAUUAAAAGCCAAAUGAAAUCAAUUGAUAUUUAAGUUUAUUUAAUUUAUUUGUCAUUUCGUUUUAUCUGUUAUAAUAUUCUAUAAUUUUAUCUGUUAUAAUUUUUUCAAACUUAUCAAAAAAUAAAAAUAAAAACAAAAGAAUUUUCAAAUUUGGUACUUAGUAGAUAUGAUACUUUUUUCAUCAUAUCGUUCUUUUUCUUAUUUUUCUGGAAUAGAUUUUAUUUUAUUUGUUUGUAUGUCAAUAAUUAUAGAUCAUAAUGGCACCUAAACGAUUAGAAGAUUAUGGUUGGCAACAUGGACAAAUGAUUGAUACGAAUAGGUUUCAUUGAAAGUGCAAUUAUUGUAAUAUGGUCGGAAUGGGCAGAGGUGUCACUCGCCUAAAGAAACAUAUUGCUGGGGGUUUUUCUUAAGUAUCAAACUGCCCUAAAGUCCCUCAGAAAAUAAGUCAUGCAAUGAAAAUUGAGUUAGAAUCUUCAAAAUUAGCAAAAAAGAAAGUAAGAGAUGAUCGAGAUGAUCUAGAUAAACGAGCGGCAGAAUAUCCCCCUAUUGACCCAUAUGAAGGUAUAGGUGAUGAAUUAGAUGCUGAUACUAGAGCUGCCAUGGAAGCAUCUGCACAAGAAAGAUGGCAGCAAGAUGAAGUCCAACGACAUAGAGCACAAUUUGGACGGUCUCAGUUUGAUGCCGGUGGUGGGUCUGGGUCUGGGUCUGCACAAUCUGGUUUAGCUCGCAGUGGUUCUGUUAGCCGUUUGUUCGACAGAUUUAAAAAAGGACCAAAAGAAAAAAGUGGAAGACAUCCAAAUAUUAUAGAUAUAGACCCAAUGGCCAUUCCACACUCAGAUGCUCAACAGCAACGUAUAGAUACAAUGUUAAAAAAAGAUAAAAAAGGUAGAAUUGGUAGAGCUAUAGCAAAGUUUUUUCACUUUAGUCAUAUUCCUUCCCAUGCAGCAAGUACUCCAUAUUAUAAAUCAAUGAUUGCUACCAUACAAAAAGAGGGUCAAGGAGUUGAACCUCCAACACCGUAUGAGCUCUCUAACAAAUAUCUUGACGCCGAGGUCAAUGAUAUUCAUGAAUGGGUAAAAAACUUAAAACAACUGUGGGAGAUGUAUGGUGUGACAUUGAUGUGUGAUAGUUGGACAGGACCAACAAAAAUGAGCAUUAUAAAUUUUUUAAUUUAUUGUAAUGGCAAGGUGAUAUUUCACAAAUCAAUCGAUGCAACCGGUCGAUUUGAAGAUGCUGACUAUAUAUAUGCAUUAUUGGAACAAGUUUUACGUGAGGUUGGUGAGAAAUGUGUGGUACAAGUUAUAUCGGACAAUGGUGCAAAUUUUAAGAAAGCUGACAAACUAUUAAUGCAAAGGCAUCCCCAUUUAUUUUGGACUCCUUGUGCAGCGCAUUGCAUCAACCUAAUGAUGUCUGACUUUGGUGAGAUAAAUCGGGUGAAAAAAACUGUACAUACUGCACAACGUAUAUCUAAAUACUUGUAUAAUCAUCUUUGGGUCCAUGCUUUAAUGGUGAAAUUCACAGGACGAGAACUCGUACGUCCUGGUAUUACACGAUUUGCAACAAAUUUUAUUGCUCUAACAGUAUCCUUCAAAAUAAAAAUGGAUUAAAGUCCAUGUUUGCAUCAGAUGAAUGGCAAACAUCUCGUUAUGCCUCCACGGCUGAUGGAAAAUCGAUUGAGCAAAUAAUUAUGUCUACCAAGUUUUCGGAUUAUGUGAAAGAGAUUGUUGAUAUUGUGGAGCCGCUAUAUGUGGUCCUCCGUUUAGUGGAUCAGAAAAAAAUACCUCAAAUGGGACAUGUUUAUUAUAAACUGAGGAUGGCUAAAGAUAAUAUUAAAAAAAAUAAUCCACUACGGUGCCAAUCUUUUCUAAAAAUUAUUGACAGACGUUGGGACGUCCAGAUGAGCUGGGAUCUACACUUAGCAAGUAAGUUAGAUAAAUUAUAACAAAAUUAUUUAUUACUGAUUGUUCAUUAGUAGUCUUGUAUUGAUGAUGAAGUGAUUUCUUUCUUAAUGAUAGGUUAUUAUCUUAAUCCGUCAUACCAUCAUCGUUAUAAUCUUGGAUUUGAUGAUGAACUGUUGAAGGCAUUACGAAACAUUAUCAAUAGAUUGGAGAGGGAUCCAACACAUGCUGCUCUUGCCAUAAGUGAGGUAUAAUAUUUUUUCAAUAUAUUAUUAGUUUGCUAGAUGUUAAUAUGCUGAUUUCUGAUUAUUAUACUACCAUAAUAAAGGGAAAAAUAUUUCGUGAAUCCUCUGGAACUUUUGGUGAAGCGGGUGCAAUUAACGGAAGACACAAUACCGAUCCCAGUAAGUAACUUCAUAAUUUGGACAGUUUACAGCUGAUGAUAAAUCUUAUUUGAUAUAUUUUUAACUUUUAAUUGUACAGCUGAGUGGUGGCUACAAUAUGGUGGAUCGGCAAAGCACUUAAAAAAGAUUGUUGUGCGUGUCUUAUCACAAACAACAACGUCUAGUGGAUGUGAACGCAACUGGAGCACGUUCGCACUUAUACAUACCAAAGUGCGUAACCGAUUAGCGUACGCUCGAUUAGAGAACCUAAUUUAUGUCCACUAUAAUAUGAGGCUCCGUUUAAGAUGCAUACAAGAGGAGUAUGAUAAGGAAAAGGUAUUAAAAACUUAUGAUUCCUUGGAUGCAAGUUUUAUCAAUGAUGAAUCAGACCCCGUACUUGAUUGGCUACAAGAUAGAGACAAUCAAGAAGACCCAUUACUCGAUGAGCCUGGAGAUCCACCACGACCAUUCAGAAUAAUUGCUGAUGAAGCAGGAAUUAGUGAUGCUGAAAGAUGGGCUGACGAGAACAUAGGAAGCUCUCAAGGUAAUGUGCAAGAACAAGCGGCUUUGGACGAAGAAUCCCAAAAUCCUGGACGUGACUCUGAUGCGGAAUUCGAACGUCUUAUGCAAGGACCUGGAUAUGGUCGUUCACGUCGUACUCAGAGUCAAUCUGGAAAGGAGAAAACGUUUUAUACUGCAAAAAGGCCUUCAACGACAGUCCGAAGUGGUAAGAGUAAAAAAAAUAUGACAUCGAUGGAUCCAUUAGAUGCAGCUGAUGCACUCCCACAAGAUAAUGAUAGUGAUACAUCGACACCAGCAGAUUCUGGAUUACCACAGUCUAAAGAUGAAUGUAGUGAUGAUGAUGAUACCACUAAUAGCAGUGAGGAUGGUGGCGACUUCAUUCCACCAACACAACAGGAGAGUGGAGGUGGUGGUGGCCUUAUAUUUACUGAAGAGCAAAACUUCACACAUGCCACUCAAGAUGCUGAUCAUGGGUCUCGACCACGUCAAACAUCCGGAAUGGUAUAUGACCGUCGAAAAGGUAGGAGGUCCUCACAACAAGAUUAUGGGGAGAUGAGAGAAGGUUUGGAGGCAAUAUCAACUAGACCUCCACGAAGGGAUGAUACUUUGCAAACACAGUUUGAUAGUACUUCAAUAUCAUCGCAUCCCUCAUAUCGACAUGGUCUAUAUGGAGAGAUAUUUGAUUAUGAUUCAUCAAUUUAUGGCACUCAGAGUGAAUCCCAAUCCAUCCCUGGACAUAGUGAAAGCUCAUACGGCGAAUCUACAUCCACUCAUGCAUAUCCACAUUAUGGUUCUUCUUUUCCAUACAAUCCAUAUCCUUAUGAUGCUUCAGUUUAUAUGCCGCAGAUGACUGUUGUCCAUUAUAUCCACGAUCCAGUUGCAUAUGCAAAUUAUCUCCGACAAUACAAUGACCUAUAUCGGGAAUAUAUGACUUUCUCACAAUACCAGCAAUACUUAUAUCAACAUUGUCAUAUAAAUCUUGUACCUGCAACUGACAAUAUGACAUAUGAUCAAGCGCGACAAUCUAUGUGGAAUUAAGCAGUCAUCUCUAUGUAAAGAUGUAAAUUUAAAUAAUUAUUAUACUUGUAAAUUUUAUUAUUGUAUUUUAAUUUUUAUUCUACAUAAGGUAUAAUUGUAUUUUACUUACAAAAAACUUACAUGCAUGUUAAUUGAUGAGUAUAAUAAGGUAUAUAUAGCAAAUAUAAAUAAUUAUUUAUUUAAAUCUUUCAAAAUAAUAUUAUAAGAGUUUAUUGGAAUCAAAAAAACUGAAAAAAAUCUGUGCCAAAAAGUGCCAGUAGGAGGUCGUGCGUAUCUGUCGGCACGCAAGCGUGCCACGUGCAUGCCGUACCGUGCCAGGGCUGUAACGGCACGCCCCCAUGCCACGGCAACCUUGAUGUAGAGCACACCUUCAUUAUGUAUAACGGUACCUCUUUGGCCAUCAAACUCUCAUAUAUUUUAAUAAUAAAAAUGAGUGGGGGAAUAUUGUAACAUUUUUAUUAUUAAAUACGAAUAUUUAAUUUUUGAUAACUUUUGCAUUUAUAAAGGAAUGCAAGUUACUCUCUUUAAUAACUAUAACUUACUUUGCUUUGCUUUGAUUGAACCCUAACCUAUGCUUUCGUAAACUCCAAUGCACUAUGAGCUUUAACUAAAUGUCAUGAAACCUAUGGUUUUAAUUCUUGUAACUCCUAUCCUAUGAGCCUAUAUAUAGAAGGCCUUUUCUAUGCACUUCAACACAAAAUACAACAACAAAAAAAAAAAAACUAUUUCCAUACUACAUGUGAGAAAGAGAAGACCAAAGAAAGGUGUUUCUUUCGGUGGAGUUUUGAGCUCAUCUACUUGUGUAGAGUUGGUGAAGCCACACGACGAGGGUUGAGCCGUUAUAUUCUGGAGGGGACAAGUCAGUGUUUUGCUGCAUUGGUUCAAAGGCUUUGCCAACAGUAGAAGACUUGAAUCUCCUUAAAAAGAGCGAGAUUUCCGUGCCUCGGCUUGAUAGACUCGUCGGCACUUUUUAUAUUAUUUUGUAGCUAACCUCUAUUUUUUGAAUAUAUGCACCAACAUAACGUGCCAAAUAGAGGUUCUAGAGCAGUAAACAACAUUCAUGUAAAGCUGUACCUCAACUUGAAGAGCAUCAUUUAACUCGUUCUCUCUUUCAGCUAAGUUCGAACAUAAAAAGAGAAAUAUGAGAUUAAAGCGAUUUGGACAGAUGAUAAGAAGAAGAAAAAAGAGGACUCGUUAACUCCAAAAGUGAAAUAUGAAAUGGAACAAAAAUCCACAUAGAUCCAAUAAAUCCUAAAAUAUCUAGCCAAGGAUCACCAAGUCCAUAAUUGCAGUAAAAAUUCUUGCUAGCUAUAAGGUUCUAUCACUUGGCAUACUCAUUAAAAGAAGAUAGGUGCUGGUGCUUUGUAAUUCUAGUAUAGCAAGAAUUUCUAUAUUACUCUAUCUCCAUAAUUAACACAAAUGGUGCAAAAGAGCUUCCAACAGGAGCUACAAUAAGUAAUUGCAUAUGGUGUUGGAACUUGAUGAAGGUAAACUACAUACUCCAAAAAAUCUAUGUGGAUUACAAGGUGUUCACCUCAGAAAAGUUCCCACUUCAACAGUGAUGAGGCUAAGCCUUUAAAUUAAUACCUCGCAGACCAAAGUUUGCCAAUCGACAUGAUUUACACAUCCCCAUCUCUAUGAACUUAUUAAACUGGGUUUCAUAACAUAAAUUACUCACUUUUGAUACCUAAGACCUUAGAUAUCACUGGCACCUAUAGUAAACCAUCUCAGCUUCUUCAAAACUACAAAAAAAUAAAACCUUGGUAAAACAUAAGCAAUGUUACUGGCCCAUCUAUACAACUAUACUCAAGCUCCUAACUCUCAAUUUUUCACCAAAAAAACUUACAUUUUAUUUCCGACUCAUCUCAAACAGAUGCAAUGGAAGUGAAAACCUAACAAAACAAAAAAAAUUCAACAACUUGCACAUAAAAUUGACCAAAAAUCGAACAUUUCGUAUGAAAAAGUUUAAGAAUGGCAAAAGAAUCAAACAAUUUGCACAUAAAAUCAAUCCAAAAAUCAAAUUGUUACUAAGAAAAAGCUUAAGAAUGGGAUGAAACGAAUACUUACAGAUAUCAAAAUUAGGCUCCUUGUAGAAGAUAUCAGGAAACUCCUCCCUCAGAGUCCGAAUCGCGUAUCCCAAAUUAACAUAAUAAUCCUGCUUAUCGUCUUCCGCUUCUCUCUGUUGGUCCCUCAAAGAGGGAGAAGAGGAUGGAGAGGAGGAGGACCAUUCCCGAAGAAGCGACCCUGAGAAGAGGGUGCCGAGCCACAGCAGCUCCCAAAUCGGGUUGGAAACCCUAAUCAACCGCCCUUUCUCGAGGUGGUGUGGGGAAGGGGAGGGGGACAAUGGGGGCGGACCUGAGAGGGAGUGAAAGGGGAGCGAGGCCACCUAAGCGGGGAGCGGUGAGGCACCUGAGCAGGAGUAGAGGCGGGGGCGGGACAAGCUACAGCCCGAGAACAGGGGUAGAGUGGCCUCCGCCGAGUUGGGGGGUGGGGUCGAAGGCAGCUGCCAACUGGGGGAAGAGGGCGGGAGG
Molecule: long non-coding RNA, 10385 nt
Filed under: Ananas comosus (pineapple)
Lineage: Eukaryota; Viridiplantae; Streptophyta; Magnoliopsida; Poales; Bromeliaceae
Description: long non-coding RNA (ACOM_LNC024383)
Source: RNAcentral